Molecule: ribosomal RNA, 2902 nt
Filed under: Escherichia coli
Lineage: Bacteria; Pseudomonadati; Pseudomonadota; Gammaproteobacteria; Enterobacterales; Enterobacteriaceae
Description: 23S ribosomal RNA
Rfam family: Bacterial large subunit ribosomal RNA
Source: RNAcentral
UUAAGCGACUAAGCGUACACGGUGGAUGCCCUGGCAGUCAGAGGCGAUGAAGGACGUGCUAAUCUGCGAUAAGCGUCGGUGAGGUGAUAUGAACCGUUAUAACCGGCGAUUUCCGAAUGGGGAAACCCAGUGUGUUUCGACACACUAUCAUUAACUGAAUCCAUAGGUUAAUGAGGCGAACCGGGGGGAACUGAAACAUCUAAGUACCCCGAGGAAAAGAAAUCAACCGAGAUUCCCCCAGUAGCGGCGAGCGAACGGGGAGGAGCCCAGAGCCUGAAUCAGUGUGUGUGUUAGUGGAAGCGUCUGGAAAGGCGCGCGAUACAGGGUGACAGCCCCGUACACAAAAAUGCACAUAUUGUGAGCUCGAUGAGUAGGGCGGGACACGUGGUAUCCUGUCUGAAUAUGGGGGGACCAUCCUCCAAGGCUAAAUACUCCUGACUGACCGAUAGUGAACCAGUACCGUGAGGGAAAGGCGAAAAGAACCCCGGCGAGGGGAGUGAAAAAGAACCUGAAACCGUGUACGUACAAGCAGUGGGAGCCUCUUAAUGGGGUGACUGCGUACCUUUUGUAUAAUGGGUCAGCGACUUAUAUUCUGUAGCAAGGUUAACCGAAUAGGGGAGCCGAAGGGAAACCGAGUCUUAACUGGGCGUUAAGUUGCAGGGUAUAGACCCGAAACCCGGUGAUCUAGCCAUGGGCAGGUUGAAGGUUGGGUAACACUAACUGGAGGACCGAACCGACUAAUGUUGAAAAAUUAGCGGAUGACUUGUGGCUGGGGGUGAAAGGCCAAUCAAACCGGGAGAUAGCUGGUUCUCCCCGAAAGCUAUUUAGGUAGCGCCUCGUGAAUUCAUCUCCGGGGGUAGAGCACUGUUUCGGCAAGGGGGUCAUCCCGACUUACCAACCCGAUGCAAACUGCGAAUACCGGAGAAUGUUAUCACGGGAGACACACGGCGGGUGCUAACGUCCGUCGUGAAGAGGGAAACAACCCAGACCGCCAGCUAAGGUCCCAAAGUCAUGGUUAAGUGGGAAACGAUGUGGGAAGGCCCAGACAGCCAGGAUGUUGGCUUAGAAGCAGCCAUCAUUUAAAGAAAGCGUAAUAGCUCACUGGUCGAGUCGGCCUGCGCGGAAGAUGUAACGGGGCUAAACCAUGCACCGAAGCUGCGGCAGCGACACUAUGUGUUGUUGGGUAGGGGAGCGUUCUGUAAGCCUGUGAAGGUGUACUGUGAGGUAUGCUGGAGGUAUCAGAAGUGCGAAUGCUGACAUAAGUAACGAUAAAGCGGGUGAAAAGCCCGCUCGCCGGAAGACCAAGGGUUCCUGUCCAACGUUAAUCGGGGCAGGGUGAGUCGACCCCUAAGGCGAGGCCGAAAGGCGUAGUCGAUGGGAAACAGGUUAAUAUUCCUGUACUUGGUGUUACUGCGAAGGGGGGACGGAGAAGGCUAUGUUGGCCGGGCGACGGUUGUCCCGGUUUAAGCGUGUAGGCUGGUUUUCCAGGCAAAUCCGGAAAAUCAAGGCUGAGGCGUGAUGACGAGGCACUACGGUGCUGAAGCGACAAAUGCCCUGCUUCCAGGAAAAGCCUCUAAGCAUCAGGUAACAUCAAAUCGUACCCCAAACCGACACAGGUGGUCAGGUAGAGAAUACCAAGGCGCUUGAGAGAACUCGGGUGAAGGAACUAGGCAAAAUGGUGCCGUAACUUCGGGAGAAGGCACGCUGAUAUGUAGGUGAAGCGACUUGCUCGUGGAGCUGAAAUCAGUCGAAGAUACCAGCUGGCUGCAACUGUUUAUUAAAAACACAGCACUGUGCAAACACGAAAGUGGACGUAUACGGUGUGACGCCUGCCCGGUGCCGGAAGGUUAAUUGAUGGGGUUAGCGGUAACGCGAAGCUCUUGAUCGAAGCCCCGGUAAACGGCGGCCGUAACUAUAACGGUCCUAAGGUAGCGAAAUUCCUUGUCGGGUAAGUUCCGACCUGCACGAAUGGCGUAAUGAUGGCCAGGCUGUCUCCACCCGAGACUCAGUGAAAUUGAACUCGCUGUGAAGAUGCAGUGUACCCGCGGCAAGACGGAAAGACCCCGUGAACCUUUACUAUAGCUUGACACUGAACAUUGAGCCUUGAUGUGUAGGAUAGGUGGGAGGCUUUGAAGUGUGGACGCCAGUCUGCAUGGAGCCGACCUUGAAAUACCACCCUUUAAUGUUUGAUGUUCUAACGUGGGCCCCUUACCGGGGUUGCGGACAGUGUCUGGUGGGUAGUUUGACUGGGGCGGUCUCCUCCUAAAGAGUAACGGAGGAGCACGAAGGUUGGCUAAUCCUGGUCGGACAUCAGGAGGUUAGUGCAAUGGCAUAAGCCAGCUUGACUGCGAGCGUGACGGCGCGAGCAGGUGCGAAAGCAGGUCAUAGUGAUCCGGUGGUUCUGAAUGGAAGGGCCAUCGCUCAACGGAUAAAAGGUACUCCGGGGAUAACAGGCUGAUACCGCCCAAGAGUUCAUAUCGACGGCGGUGUUUGGCACCUCGAUGUCGGCUCAUCACAUCCUGGGGCUGAAGUAGGUCCCAAGGGUAUGGCUGUUCGCCAUUUAAAGUGGUACGCGAGCUGGGUUUAGAACGUCGUGAGACAGUUCGGUCCCUAUCUGCCGUGGGCGCUGGAGAACUGAGGGGGGCUGCUCCUAGUACGAGAGGACCGGAGUGGACGCAUCACUGGUGUUCGGGUUGUCAUGCCAAUGGCACUGCCCGGUAGCUAAAUGCGGAAGAGAUAAGUGCUGAAAGCAUCUAAGCACGAAACUUGCCCCGAGAUGAGUUCUCCCUGACUCCUUGAGAGUCCUGAAGGAACGUUGAAGACGACGACGUUGAUAGGCCGGGUGUGUAAGCGCAGCGAUGCGUUGAGCUAACCGGUACUAAUGAACCGUGAGGCUUAACCU